This 28-nucleotide small RNA is filed under the name Bombyx mori (domestic silkworm). RNAcentral's name for it is "ovarian small RNA-33359". Lineage: Eukaryota; Metazoa; Arthropoda; Insecta; Lepidoptera; Bombycidae. The record is from RNAcentral.
UGCAAGAUAUUCAGAGCCUAUUUUUAUU